GGAUGGGGUUUAGUGGUUAGCAUGUUUUCCUCACACCUGAGGGGUUGGGGGUUCGAUUCCCACCUCCA
Molecule: non-coding RNA, 68 nt
Organism: Ameiurus melas (black bullhead)
Lineage: Eukaryota; Metazoa; Chordata; Actinopteri; Siluriformes; Ictaluridae
Source: the annotation of a GenBank genome assembly